This 253-nucleotide ribosomal RNA is filed under the name uncultured bacterium. RNAcentral describes it as "partial 16S ribosomal RNA". It matches the Rfam family "Bacterial small subunit ribosomal RNA", at positions 524 to 776 of the family's 1533-position model. The record is from RNAcentral.
UACGUAGGGGGCAAGCGUUGUCCGGAUUUAUUGGGCGUAAAGAGCGUGUAGGCGGCCAUGUAGGUCCGUUGUGAAAACUCGAGGCUCAACCUCGAGACGCCGAUGGAAACCAUGUGGCUAGAGUCCGGAAGAGGGUCGCGGAAUUCCCGGUGUAGAGGUGAAAUUCGUAGAUAUCGGGAGGAACACCGGUGGCGAAGGCGGCGACCUGGGUCGAGACUGACGCUGAGGCGCGAAAGCGUGGGGAGCAAACAGG